GGAUGCAAGUGUUAUUCGGAAUGAUUGGGCGUAAAGAGUCUGUAGGCGGUUUAGAAAGUCUUUUGUGAAAUACUUCAGCUCAACUGAGGCUCCGCAAAAGAAACUUCUAGACUUGAGGAAAGUAGAGGUACAGGGAAUUUCCGGUGGAGCGGUGAAAUGCGUAGAUAUCGGAAGGAACACCAAUAUGGCGAAGGCACUGUACUGGGCUUUUCCUGACGCUCAGAGACGAAAGCUGAAGGAGUGAUUAGGAUUAGAUACCCUAGUAAUUUCAGCCGUAAACGAUGAAAACUCACUGUCGAGCCAAUAUAUGGAGCGGUGGUCAAGCUAACGCGUGAAGUUUCCCGCCUGGGGAUUACGCUUGCAAAAGUGAAACUCAAAGGAAUUGACGGGGACCCGCACAAGCGGUGGAGUAUGUGGUUUAAUUCGAUGCAACGCGAAAAACCUUACCAGGGUUUGAAAUAAUUUCAAAACUUCUUGAAAGAGAAGCCUCCUUCGGGAUGGAAUUACAGGUGGUGCAUGGCUGUCGUCAGCUCGUGUUGUGAAAUGUCAAGUUAAGUCUUGUAACGAGCGCAACCCAUGUCUCUUGUUGCUGUUUACAGUGCUUAAGAGAAACUGCCGAUCAACAUCGGAGGAAGGUGUGGAUGAUGUCAAGUCAGCAUGCCCCUUACAUCCUGGGCUACACACGUACUACAAUGGUCGAGACAAAGGGUCGCUAACCUGCAAAGGCAUGCCAAUCUCAUAAACUCGAUCUCAGUUCGGAUUGUACUCUGCAACUCGAGUACAUGAAGGUGGAAUCGCUAGUAAUCGCUGGUCAGCAUACAGCGGUGAAUACGUUCCCGGGUCUUGUACACACUGCCCGUCACACCAUGGAAGUCGACCCUUCCCUAAGUCGUUACUCGAACCUGUAAAGGACGAGGACGCCGAAGGCAGAGUU
This 934-nucleotide ribosomal RNA is filed under the name marine metagenome. RNAcentral's name for it is "bacterial SSU rRNA". It matches the Rfam family "Bacterial small subunit ribosomal RNA", at positions 530 to 1469 of the family's 1533-position model. The record is from RNAcentral.